UUUUUUCCCUAUAUUUACUUAUUUUACUUUUCAUAAAAUCACAAAAUUAUAAAAAAAAAAUGUUAGCUUCUUAUUUAAUAAUAUUAUUAAUAGCAACAUUAUCUUAUCUUACUAGCGGAGAAGCCGAUCCAGGGCUUUUAGACGAGCGAAUUGAAAGUAAUGCCUACAUUAGAUAUCAUGGAAUUGAAAAUUUUUGUGCCAAUAGAUGUCAAAAUUCUAACAAUGAA
Long non-coding RNA from Gordionus sp. m RMFG-2023, 227 nucleotides. RefSeq lists it as uncharacterized. Lineage: Eukaryota; Metazoa; Nematomorpha; Gordioida; Chordodea; Parachordodidae. The transcript is spliced from 3 exons. The record is from RefSeq and is a predicted model, not a curated record.